This 529-nucleotide ribosomal RNA is filed under the name Lepidosaphes sp. D2039A. RNAcentral describes it as "eukaryotic LSU rRNA". Lineage: Eukaryota; Metazoa; Arthropoda; Insecta; Hemiptera; Diaspididae. The record is from RNAcentral.
AUCUGGGUGGCGAAAUUCAGAAUGGCUGGGAGUUUUGCACUUUUCCGGCCGUUUGAUGUUUUCGUCGCCGUGUCAGACGUCGCGACCUGUUUGUCGUCGGUCCUUGUUCAAAGGAAUUGCAAUCGAGUUCAUUGUGGGUGCGUUUCCGCGCACCAUACGGUGAAGAUGCGAAUUUCUGGCUGACGAUGGACAGUAAGCAAUGGUGGCCAAUGUUGUGCGUUUGUACGCGGCAUUGGUACCGGUCAGCGACGAUUUCUUCGGGCCUCUUUCCGACCCGUCUUGAAACACGGACCAAGGAGUCUAACAUACGCGCGAGUCGCGGGGUUUCGAGUGUACUACGGUGCACUCGGCAUUCUUUAAACCCGUAUACGUUGAAGGCGUAAUGAAAGUAAAUUGGGAAGAUGGUGUUCCGAGUAAACGAACCGCAAUUUGUUGCGGCCGGACGCCCGCAUUCCCGGGGCGUCUUGAAUGCUCGUUGCGGAUGCGGCUGGUUGUCUUUCGGGGCAAUCGGCGGUCUGUGACGGUCUGA